GCCGGAUUAGCACAGUGGUAGUGCAGCGGUUUUGUAAACCGAAGGUCGGGAGUUCAAAUCUCUCAUCCGGCACCA
RNAcentral lists this transfer RNA (75 nucleotides) under Commensalibacter intestini. RNAcentral describes it as "tRNA-Thr". It matches the Rfam family "tRNA". From Rfam's summary of the family: Transfer RNA (tRNA) molecules are approximately 80 nucleotides in length. Their secondary structure includes four short double-helical elements and three loops (D, anti-codon, and T loops). The record is from RNAcentral. RNAcentral also lists the same sequence under 8 other names. Lineage: Bacteria; Pseudomonadati; Pseudomonadota; Alphaproteobacteria; Acetobacterales; Acetobacteraceae.